UACGUAGGCAGCGAGCGUUGUUCGGAGUUACUGGGCGUAAAGGGUGUGUAGGCGGUUGUUUAAGUUUGGUGUGAAAUCUCCCGGCUCAACUGGGAGGGUGCGCCGAAUACUGAAUGACUUGGAGUGCGGGAGAGGAGAGUGGAAUUCCUGGUGUAGCGGUGAAAUGCGUAGAUAUCAGGAGGAACACCGGUGGUGUAGACGGCUCUCUGGACCGUAACUGACGCUGAGACACGAAAGCGUGGGGAGCGAACAGG
This 254-nucleotide ribosomal RNA is filed under the name uncultured bacterium. RNAcentral describes it as "partial 16S ribosomal RNA". It matches the Rfam family "Bacterial small subunit ribosomal RNA", at positions 524 to 776 of the family's 1533-position model. The record is from RNAcentral.